GGGCGGUUAGCUCAGUUGGUUAGAGCACUACCUUGACAUGGUAGGGGUCACAGGUUCGAAUCCUGUACCGCCCACCA
Molecule: transfer RNA, 77 nt
Filed under: Candidatus Omnitrophota bacterium
Lineage: Bacteria; Pseudomonadati; Candidatus Omnitrophota
Description: tRNA-Val
Rfam family: tRNA
About the family: Transfer RNA (tRNA) molecules are approximately 80 nucleotides in length. Their secondary structure includes four short double-helical elements and three loops (D, anti-codon, and T loops).
Source: RNAcentral